GACGAAAGCAGAAACAGACUUUGUAUGUUUGCUUCGACAUUGGAACGAUCCUCAAGUGAAAUGAUUGAGGAAGAAGAAGAAGAAGAGAAUGGGAAAAAAUUGAUCUCUCUUCACUGUUUUUAUUUCUCCUUUAGGGAUUUUUGUGGUCAAAUCUGAAUGUUUAGUUAUCGUUGGCCGUUUGAUCGCAAAAGUCACUUUCCAUAAAAC
This 207-nucleotide long non-coding RNA is filed under the name Eutrema salsugineum. RNAcentral's name for it is "long non-coding RNA (ESAL_LNC001366)". The record is from RNAcentral. Lineage: Eukaryota; Viridiplantae; Streptophyta; Magnoliopsida; Brassicales; Brassicaceae.